CUUGCUUUCCUCCCAUGUUUUUCUCUCUCUGUCUGUCUUCUCUAGUACAUUGGCCAACACACACCCUCUAUCUCUCUCUCUGUCCUUGCCUUUCCUCGUGUUGUCUCCCUUCGUAAGACACGGGCAGCUGUGUAAUGUGUGCAUCCCCACAGGCUGUGUCUCGGGAGCCAUGGAGAAGUUGGAGGGGACGAAAAUCAUCCAGGGCUGUGACUGUUGGUGUCAUCUCUGUCUCUGUUCGUCGAGUGGGGCUGAUGUAGAUGGGGUUGGAGAGGGAGGCCAGGAUGAGGGCAAGAUUUGAAGCAACAAAUAGAGCUUUAAGUAGUGAUGGCUCAUGCUUGGCUUUUGCAGCUGCGCUUCCAGAGGAAUUUUCCAAGAGCCCUAUCCUGAGGAGAAAGUGGCAGAAGUGGACAUGAGCAGACUGGACAUCCUUGUUAGCAGACAUGAACAGUCCUCAGCUUUCUGACUCCCGCAUAAUUGGCUUGCCAAGGGAAAAGAAAUCAAACGUCAAAGUUUACUCCCCUCGUCGGAUGGAAAGCGAGCGAGAGCAGUGAGCCUAUGAGCAUUGUUGAUGCAAGUUUGGAGCCGUCCACUUGGCAGUGGAGCAGUUGCUACUGUCAGUGAGAUAAGUGUGUGGUUUGGUGAGGGGUCUGCGUAGGGCCCCACUGGCUCCAAGUAGGGAUGCCCCGUUAGCUGGGGCUGGGUUAGUAAGAAAUGGUUCCUAACCAGCUGUGGUUACGAGAGAGACAAGGUCCCCAUUUUCAGGGGCUGCUCAUUUCUCUGCCCAGAUGUGGUGCAUCCUCGGCAGCGGAAGGUUGCAUCCAGGAGGAUGACUCAGGUGGUGAGUUGCUUGCGUUCCUCCCAUUUUUUUUCUCUGUCUCUCUCUCUCCUCUAGUGUGUUGGACAACUUUCUCAGUCUCUUUCCUCUCCUCUCCUCAUGCCGUCUCCCUUCGUAGGACCACGAGCAUCCGUCCUAGGUGUGCAUCCUAGCCAGGUCUUGGGAGCCACGGAGAAGUAGGAGCAGACGAAAACCAUGCGGGGCAGUGGGCGCUAAAGUGGAGCUGUGACUGUUUGUGGUUACUCGGUCUCUGUUCAUCGAGUGGGGCUGAUGUAGAUGGAAUGGGAGACAGAGGCAGGGAUGAGGGCAAGAUUCAACACACCAAUAGAGCUCUGUGUAGUGAUAGUUAUUGCUUGGUUUUAUUAGUUUGCAGAGGAAUUGUCCAAGACCCUAGCUGGACAGGAAUAUGGCAGAAGUGGACCUGAGCAGUCUGGACAUCCUUCUAAGGAGACGUGAAUAGGCCUCAUGUUUCUGCCUUCUGCAUCGCUGGCUGUGAGUAAGAGGUUUAGUACCAAGGAAAACGAAGUCACGCUUCAGAGUCUACCGCACUCAUGCGAUGGAAAGUGAGCAAGAGCAUUGAGACUCUGAGCAUUGUUGAUGCCCACAAAAGCCGUCCAUCUGGGAGCUGAGGAGGCGCCGCUAUCAGUGAGAUAAGUGUCUGGUUUGGUGAGGGCUCUGUUUACGCCCAACC
Long non-coding RNA from Trachemys scripta elegans, 1526 nucleotides. RefSeq lists it as uncharacterized. Lineage: Eukaryota; Metazoa; Chordata; Testudines; Emydidae. The record is from RefSeq and is a predicted model, not a curated record. The transcript is spliced from 3 exons.